AGAUUAAGUUAUUAAGGGCGCACGGUGGAUGCCUUGGCACUAGAAGCCGAUGAAGGACGUUACUAACGACGAUAUGCUUUGGGGAGCUGUAAGUAAGCUUUGAUCCAGAGAUUUCCGAAUGGGGAAACCCAGCAUGAGUUAUGUCAUGUUAUCGAUAUGUGAAUACAUAGCAUAUCAGAAGGCACACCCGGAGAACUGAAACAUCUUAGUACCCGGAGGAAGAGAAAGAAAAUUCGAUUCCCUUAGUAGCGGCGAGCGAAACGGGAAGAGCCCAAACCAACAAGCUUGCUUGUUGGGGUUGUAGGACACUCUAUACGGAGUU
This 322-nucleotide ribosomal RNA is filed under the name Staphylococcus aureus. Its description in RNAcentral is "partial 23S ribosomal RNA". It matches the Rfam family "Bacterial large subunit ribosomal RNA", at positions 1 to 321 of the family's 2925-position model. Lineage: Bacteria; Bacillati; Bacillota; Bacilli; Caryophanales; Staphylococcaceae. The record is from RNAcentral.